UCCUACGGGAGGCAGCAGUGGGGAAUAUUGCACAAUGGGCGAAAGCCUGAUGCAGCGACGCCGCGUGAGGGAUGACGGCCUUCGGGUUGUAAACCUCUUUCAGCAGGGAAGAAGCGAAAGUGACGGUACCUGCAGAAGAAGCACCGGCUAACUACGUGCCAGCAGCCGCGGUAAUA
This 176-nucleotide ribosomal RNA is filed under the name uncultured bacterium. Its description in RNAcentral is "partial 16S ribosomal RNA". It matches the Rfam family "Bacterial small subunit ribosomal RNA", at positions 337 to 525 of the family's 1533-position model. The record is from RNAcentral.